GAUCCUGGCUCAGAUUGAACGCUGGCGGAACGCUUUACACAUGCAAGUCGAACGGUAACGCGGAGAGAAGCUUGCUUCUCUCCGGCGACGAGUGGCGAACGGGUGAGUAAUACAUCGGAACGUGUCCGCUCGUGGGGGACAACCAGCCGAAAGGUUGACUAAUACCGCAUGAGUUCUACGGAAGAAAGUAGGGGGACCCGCAAGGACCUCUCGCGAGCGGAGCGGCCGAUGACUGAUUAGCCGGUUGGUGAGGUAACGG
RNAcentral lists this ribosomal RNA (259 nucleotides) under uncultured bacterium. RNAcentral's name for it is "partial 16S ribosomal RNA". It matches the Rfam family "Bacterial small subunit ribosomal RNA", at positions 15 to 263 of the family's 1533-position model. The record is from RNAcentral.